This is a long non-coding RNA of Rosa rugosa (rugosa rose), 959 nucleotides long. RefSeq lists it as uncharacterized. NCBI's taxonomy places the organism in Eukaryota, Viridiplantae, Streptophyta, Magnoliopsida, Rosales, Rosaceae. The transcript has 4 exons. The record is from RefSeq and is a predicted model, not a curated record.
CACAAAGUGGGUCACUUCUACUGUGGAAAUCAGAAGGGUUUGUCUUUGUGAUGGAUGGAGAGGUUUUGUUAUUGUUUAGAGCCACCCAUGUAUAAAGGGAAAGCAAGUGAAAUGGGCAACGGGGGGCUGGGGGUUGUUCAAACUGUUAUUUUGGUUGGUGUUGCAUGCGCUCAAAAGGUCCGUCUUGCUCUUCGGGUCCAUUGAAUGAUUCAAAAAUCCUAAUGUUGAUGGAGCAUUUGCACCUGAGGAAGCAAUGGCCAUGAUCUUACAUCUUCUGAAUGAGACACCAGGAGUAGUAGUAUGAAUCCAGUCAAUUCUACUAUGCAAGAAUGCCAUAGUGUAGCCAAACGACAGAGAUAGUACUUUUUCACAACAGUGAUAUUGUGGUCAAGUUUUUGAUAAGACUGUUUAUAUGACCAGGUGACACCUUAAGAUCAGAAGUGAAUUAUAGCAGUAUUGUUUUUGCAGUCAACCUCAUAAACAGGGUGUUCGCACUGUUAGGGCCUGAGGCUAUUGGCCUCUUACUUGGAAAUGAAACCCCAAAUUGGUAGCCUCAUAACUGCAAUUUGGUAUUAUGCUGUUUCCUGUGAAAGCCUCUAUAUCAAGGAAGCUGGUACUGAAGAAGAUGAUUUAUUUUUAAGGAGGGCCAGACAUGCAUGUGGCUUAUCAAACUGACUGUGCUUUGCUGCGCUGGGAACAGACAGUACCACUGCUAGAAAAUAUACACCUGCUGCUAUUGCACACCACCACAAUGAUUUCCAGAACAAAUGAAGUGGUGGAUUCUUCAAAUGUGGAUGGUUAUUCAAAAACAGCAACUGAAACAGAGCAAAGCAUGCUGGAAUAAAAUAAUGCGGUGACUGCUUCAACUGUGGAUGAUUAUUCAGCAAUAGCAACUGAAACAGGUAAAAAUGUAGGGUAUCUCUAUUCUAUUACAUAACUGAAAAGUCAGUAGCCAAAGG